This 447-nucleotide ribosomal RNA is filed under the name Staphylococcus aureus. RNAcentral describes it as "bacterial SSU rRNA". It matches the Rfam family "Bacterial small subunit ribosomal RNA", at positions 1 to 443 of the family's 1533-position model. Lineage: Bacteria; Bacillati; Bacillota; Bacilli; Caryophanales; Staphylococcaceae. The record is from RNAcentral.
UAUGAGAGUUUGAUCCUGGCUCAGGACGAACGCUGGCGGCGUGCCUAAUACAUGCAAGUAGAACGCUGAAGGAGGAGCUUGCUUCUCUGGAUGAGUUGCGAACGGGUGAGUAACGCGUAGGUAACCUGCCUGGUAGCGGGGGAUAACUAUUGGAAACGAUAGCUAAUACCGCAUAAGAGUGGAUGUUGCAUGACAUUUGCUUAAAAGGUGCACUUGCAUCACUACCAGAUGGACCUGCGUUGUAUUAGCUAGUUGGUGGGGUAACGGCUCACCAAGGCGACGAUACAUAGCCGACCUGAGAGGGUGAUCGGCCACACUGGGACUGAGACACGGCCCAGACUCCUACGGGAGGCAGCAGUAGGGAAUCUUCGGCAAUGGACGAAAGUCUGACCGAGCAACGCCGCGUGAGUGAAGAAGGUUUUCGGAUCGUAAAACUCUGUUGUUAGA